Molecule: long non-coding RNA, 1974 nt
Filed under: Solanum lycopersicum (tomato)
Lineage: Eukaryota; Viridiplantae; Streptophyta; Magnoliopsida; Solanales; Solanaceae
Description: long non-coding RNA (SLYC_LNC001395)
Source: RNAcentral
UUCAUUAUUGUACCAUUCUUCAUUCUAUAUCAGUACGAGUCUCAUUGUAGGUUAAAGGAAAUUUUCGGUAACUGGUAAGUAUUUGAUGCUUAUUUAUCUAUUUGUACUAUUUUAGGAAGCAAUCUUCUUCAUAAAAAAAUAAAAUAAUAGUUGUUCUUCUUAAAAAAAAAAGUUCCAUAUCUCUUCAUCCCAAUAAAGAGAAUUCCGAAAUUUUCUAAUCAGAAUGUUUUGCAGAGACAUUAAUUCUUAAAAUGAUUUGGUAAUUUAUUUUUUUCUUUGAAUGAUGUGUUAUCUUCUUUAAUUUAAUUUUAGUAAAUAGCUUCCUUUACUUUGAUGCUAUGGCAUUAUUUUUAUCUCAAUGUACUUUUUCUUGUGGAAUUUUAAUGCCUAUGUUAUCUAAUGUUCUUGUUUUAUCAGUUGGAAUAUAGUAGUUGUACGAUUUGAAUUUUACAGGAUUUUGGAAGUGGGACAAUGCUACAAGUUUAAGAGGUAAAUUUUGGAUGAUUUUAUACAGUUAGUUAUAACAGAAAAUGGUACUUGUGCUUCAAUAUCUAUGUACUUUAGGAAAAAAUUGCUGGUAUGAUUACAUAUUUGUGCUUUAUUGAGUUGUAAUAUAAUAGCCAUAUAAUUUGGAUCUUACAGAAUUUUGAAAGUCGAAUUUAUUUGACGUGUAGAGACAAAUGCUUUGGAGUAGGUAAACUAGGGACUUCUUUGUUCUGUAAGCUUAGUUACACCGAAAAUUGAUAGUGCUUAGUUUCUUUUACGAUUUGAUAUUUGAACUCAUCAUCCUGCAUGCACUUUGUUUCAAAAUCAUUUUCUCUUCUUAAGUUAGGAGUUUUAAAAGGUUACUUCAGGAAUAUUCGUACGGAGAAAUAUGUGCCUAUAAAGUUUAUGGUCCAUUUCUCAUAUGAUGUAAACAAAACUUCAAAUAAUGCUCUUGCCGACUUUUUUAUCUGCAUAAAGUGCAAGUUUGUAAAUGCAUUUCCCAUCUACAGGUAAUAUAAAUUGUAAAUAAAUUACCAUAAAGAGAAAGAGGAGACUGAAGAGGGAAUUUCCGCAGAGACAGGUAAAUUUCUCUUCUUGUUGUCUGAUGAUAAUAUUAUGAUACUAUGGUGUAUUGAAUUGACCACCGUCUAACAGCUUCUGUGAAUGUUCAUAAAAGUUCUCUUUAGUCGUAUUGUGUAUAAAGUUAUUUUUUUUAGUUCCUACUUGGUUAAAUAAAUCAACAAUCUUAACGGACUAACUUCCAUUGAUUUCAGCUGUGUAUUAUGCAAAGUACAACCUCCUUCUGAAGAUGUUAAUAUGGAUAAUGUUGAGGAUUUGAGGACUUCAAAGCGAAUUGUCAUUUAUAAUGAGAUAUAUUUAAUUUCUUGUUACAGUUUUUUAUGAUAUCUUUUGGGUUUUGUUUUUAAGGCUAGACCUCCUAAAUUACACUUGUUGUUCAUGUUUUCAAUAGCAUAAUUCCAUGUCAGAUUUUACUUCUGGCUUGCUUCGGGGAUUUCUUCAUGAGGGAAAACUUCGUGAUAACCGUUUUAAUCCAUUUGAAUCACUGGUAAUUAUUUAUGGGUAUGCAGACAUGAAUAUGGCUUUUGAUGGUGAUAUAGUCGCAGUUGAGCAUUUGCCUCAAGAACAGUGGCACGAGGAGUAGUCUUUGGAAUUAGUUGAUGAAGGUUUGUCCACAUUGUUUUUUACUUUGAUGAACAUGAUUUUCUUUAUAUUGCAAAAUUGAUCUACUUUUCUUUCGAACUAGGCGAAAUGGCCUGGAUUUGUCCUCUAUUAACAAUUAGAUCAUCAUGAUAUGGACUUAUUGACUAACUUAAAACCAUUAAAGAGUUAUUAUUAUCUCAUAAGACUAAUUAGCACUAUCAUUUGUGUCAUACGUGGCUUAAAUUCACCCCUUCUACCUCCUCUUAACUCUCUACCCGGCCUCCAUUCAACCUAUCAAUCCUUCUCCAUCUACCAUCGUUAUCGUUG